This 494-nucleotide ribosomal RNA is filed under the name uncultured bacterium. RNAcentral's name for it is "partial 16S ribosomal RNA". It matches the Rfam family "Bacterial small subunit ribosomal RNA", at positions 28 to 507 of the family's 1533-position model. The record is from RNAcentral.
GACGAACGCUGGCGGCGCGCUUAACACAUGCAAGUCGAACGGAAAGGCCUGCUUUCCCUUGUGGAUUGCGGGUACUCGAGUGGCGAACGGGUGAGUAACACGUGAGUGAUCUGCCCCCAACUUGGGUAUAAGCCUGGGAAACUGGGUCUAAUUCCCGAUAGGACUGCAGGGUGGUGCCUGUGGUGGAAAACGAUUUUCUAGUGGUUGGGGAUGAGCUCGCGGCCUAUCAGCUUGUUGGUGGGGUAAUGGCCUACCAAGGCGGCGACGGGUAGCCGGCCUGAGAGGGUGGACGGCCACAUUGGGACUGAGAUACGGCCCAGACUCCUACGGGAGGCAGCAGUGGGGAAUAGUGCACAAUGGGCGGAAGCCUGAUGCAGCGACGCCGCGUGGGGGAUGACGGCCUUCGGGUUGUAAACUCCUUUCGACCGCGAGGAAGCCACCUGGUUGGAAGGGUGGUGACGGUAGUGGUAGAAGAAGCACCGGCUAACUACGUG